RNAcentral lists this ribosomal RNA (279 nucleotides) under uncultured bacterium. RNAcentral's name for it is "partial 16S ribosomal RNA". It matches the Rfam family "Bacterial small subunit ribosomal RNA", at positions 32 to 320 of the family's 1533-position model. The record is from RNAcentral.
AAUCAACGCUGGCGGCGUGCCUAACACAUGCAAGUCGCACGAGAAAGGGGAGCAAUCCCUGAGUAAAGUGGCGCACGGGUGAGUAACACGUGAAUCAUCUACCUCCGAGUGGGGAAUAACUGAGAGAAAUCUUAGCUAAUACCGCAUAACACUUACGAGUCAAAGCAGCAAUGCGCUUGGAGAGGAGUUCGCGGCCGAUUAGUUAGUUGGCGGGGUAAGUGGCCCACCAAGACGAUGAUCGGUAUCCGGCCUGAGAGGGCGCACGGACACACUGGAACU